GUUAGGGUGGCAGAGCCCGGUAACUGCAYARAACUUAAGCUUUUAUUAUCAGAGGUUCRAUUCCUCUCCUUAACA
RNAcentral lists this transfer RNA (75 nucleotides) under Felis catus (domestic cat). RNAcentral's name for it is "tRNA-Leu". The record is from RNAcentral. Lineage: Eukaryota; Metazoa; Chordata; Mammalia; Carnivora; Felidae.